RNAcentral lists this ribosomal RNA (782 nucleotides) under Otiorhynchus teretirostris. RNAcentral describes it as "eukaryotic LSU rRNA". It matches the Rfam family "Eukaryotic large subunit ribosomal RNA", at positions 398 to 949 of the family's 3401-position model. Lineage: Eukaryota; Metazoa; Arthropoda; Insecta; Coleoptera; Curculionidae. The record is from RNAcentral.
CGUGAAACUAUUUAGAGGUAAACCUGAGAAACCCAAAAGGUCGAAGGGAGAAAUUCAUUCGCCGUCGGCUGAAGCGCUCGAGUGAUGAAGAGCGUUCGCGCUUUUCCCGCGUUUUCCGUUUUUCGAUCCAGCGGAGAACGCAUGCACUUUUCUCCUGGUAAGACGUCGCAAUCCGUUGGGUGUCGGUGUACGACUCGCGGUGGAACCCGGACGAACGGUUCGCUGUCGCGUCUGGACUCGCGUGUCCCGGCCGACCCGUUAGGCGGUAGAAAAAAGGUUCGAGGCCGCUCUUAGAACAUUCGGCUUGUCGCAAACGCGUCGGAUAUAUCGGCGAUUGAACCUAGUGCGGGUUCUGACAUUCGGCGACUGAUGGCGGCGAAGUUCUCGAACAGACCUCUUGAGACCGAACUGCGACGUUAUAGCUUCGGGUAAUUUCGUAAUCAGUCUUUAAACACGGACCAAGUAAUCUAGCAUGUGCGCGAGUCAUUGAGACUCGAUAAACCUAAAGUANCAAUGAAAGUGCAGGUCCGCCUCGCGCGGACCGAGGGAAGCCGGGCGGUUCGCCCUUGGAAGCGGGUGCUCCGAACUCCCGGGGCAUCUCGUUCCCAUCUUGAGAAGAAGCGCANCAAGAGCGUACACGCUGAGACCCGAAAGAUGGUGAACUAUGGCUGGUCAAGACGAAGUCNGGGGGAAACCCUGACGUANGUCCGCGGCUAUUCUGACAUGCAAAUCGAUCUUCGGAACUGGGUGUAGGGGCGGAAGACUAAUCGAAACAUCUAGUA